AGUUCCUACAUUAUUUGAAGUCUAUCAGAACCGUCAUAGAAUCCUUGUAAGUCACCAACACGAACUUCUACCUAAAACCUGGAGGGGCGCAAAACAGAAAACGUGAGUGGGCAAAAACAAAGUUUUUCAAAACCAUUUCUCUUUCCAAGAGUAAUAACCCCUCAUCGUAAAACCCUUAUAGUUUCCCAUAAAAUAGUAAUACGUACGUUUGUAGAAAUCAUGCUCAAGAGUAAUGAAAACCAAGUAUAUGCCAUGUCAAGUAUCUCAGCAAUAAAAUAAGUAAGCCAGGUGAAAUAAAUCAAUAUAAAUAAUAUGUCAGCCGGAGUCACCUAACAUGACAUGUACGACUGAACCUAUAACUCAUCAAAUAUGCAUGCACACGAGUUGUAACCACCUAUUGUGGUCUGUAAGACAAGGCUGAGUGUAAAUAAGUAUGCUGAAGUACUAUGAUCACGUGAAGGCUGUGAGAUAAAUUGCGAGUCACCUACGAGUCGGAACCACCUAUUGUGGUCUAUAUGACAGGGUUGUGCACCAAACUGGGAUCCAAGGUGAGUGUGCGGUGCGGUGCGGGAUGUGAACAUCAUGUGAAAGACUGUGCCCUGACCACGGGCGGGAACACUAAUACCACAGUGCAGGAUAAUGAGCUCUAAAUGCUUCUACGUAUAAUCACAACAAUGCAUCUACUAUCAUCAAUAUAUACUCACUUGAAGCUUACCUGGGCAUCCGGAGCAUCAAACAACAGUAUGCAUAUCUAUACUAAUGUAUACUCUAAAGCAUAAUGCAAUUGACAUGGCGUUUAAAAUCGUAAAUCCAUUUAAAACAAAUUUCUGGGAAAACGCAAAGCAUAUAUACGUAUAUAUAGAAAACCAAAAGCCCACUCACUAGUAUGUAGUAGGGUCGUCCCCGAGUCUCGCCUGGCUACGCUCGUCCUCCGAAAACGUCUCACCUAUAUGUGAAACAACUAUUUUAACAUUAAUUUUAAGCACAUAACCAAAACCGUGUAAUAACUUCUCAUAUGUUGCUCAAUUGGGGUGUUUGAAUAUACCAUCAUGGCCUACUCAACACCACGAGCAUCCUCAUAUUUUUAAAAUAAUUUUCCGAUGUCCCACGCUCCUGUCAAGCUCAGGCACGUGCCUGACACACUGAUAGAAUCUCUAACGGCGUUAGGGUAUAUUCCAUUAAAUAGGAGCAUAUACCGUUAACUUUGUCUGAUGCCGUCAGUAUACUCCGUCAAAAUUGACGGAAUAUUCUCCUUCCUUCUCCGAUGGUUCGCCGGAAUCUGGAGCCAGUAGCCGUUGCGUCGCCGGUUUCUGGAAAAAUUUAAAACUUGAAUAUCUCCUUCGUUUUUCAACCAAAUUUCACAAAUUUUAAUCAAUUUGAAGCCCUGAACGAGUAGAACAUGCUCUUACCUCUUAGAGGUCCUAAAACCCAC
This 1432-nucleotide long non-coding RNA is filed under the name Malus domestica (apple). RNAcentral describes it as "long non-coding RNA (MDOM_LNC017602)". The record is from RNAcentral. Lineage: Eukaryota; Viridiplantae; Streptophyta; Magnoliopsida; Rosales; Rosaceae.